Molecule: transfer RNA, 73 nt
Filed under: Chloroflexota bacterium
Lineage: Bacteria; Bacillati; Chloroflexota
Description: Chloroflexi bacterium (groundwater metagenome) tRNA-Arg
Rfam family: tRNA
About the family: Transfer RNA (tRNA) molecules are approximately 80 nucleotides in length. Their secondary structure includes four short double-helical elements and three loops (D, anti-codon, and T loops).
Source: RNAcentral
GCCCUCGUAGCUCAAUGGAUAGAGCACUUGACUUCGGAUCAAGUGGUUGUGAGUUCGAAUCUCGCCGAGGGCG